This 801-nucleotide ribosomal RNA is filed under the name uncultured bacterium. RNAcentral's name for it is "bacterial SSU rRNA". It matches the Rfam family "Bacterial small subunit ribosomal RNA", at positions 8 to 796 of the family's 1533-position model. The record is from RNAcentral.
AGAGUUUGAUCCUGGCUCAGGACGAACGCUGGCGGCGCGCUUAACACAUGCAAGUCGAGCGAGAACCAGGGCUUCGGUCCUGGGGACAGCGGCGAACGGGUGAGUAACACGUGGAUAACCUGCCCUCGGCACCGGGAUAGCCCGGGGAAACCCGGAUUAAUACCGGAUGGCCCUUCCGGCUCACGAGCCGGUCGGAAAAGGUAGCUUCGGCCUCCGGCCGAGGAUGGGUCCGCGGCGGAUUAGCUUGUUGGUGGGGUAACGGCCUACCAAGGCUCCGAUCCGUAGCUGGUCUGAGAGGACGAUCAGCCACACUGGGACUGAGACACGGCCCAGACUCCUACGGGAGGCAGCAGUGGGGAAUCUUGCGCAAUGGGCGAAAGCCUGACGCAGCGACGCCGCGUGAGGGAGGAAGGCCUUCGGGUUGUAAACCUCUUUCAGGAGGGACGAAGCUACUCGGGUGAAUAGCCCAGAGGGUGACGGUACCUCCAGAAGAAGCCCCGGCUAACUACGUGCCAGCAGCCGCGGUAAUACGUAGGGGGCAAGCGUUGUCCGGAUUUACUGGGCGUAAAGAGCGUGUAGGCGGCCAAACAGGUCCGUUGUGAAAACUGGAGGCUCAACUUCCAGACGUCGACGGAAACCGUUUGGCUAGAGUCCGGAAGAGGAGAGUGGAAUUCCUGGUGUAGCGGUGAAAUGCGCAGAUAUCAGGAAGAACACCAAUGGCGAAGGCAGCUCUCUGGGACGGUACUGACGCUGAGACGCGAAAGCGUGGGGAGCGAACAGGAUUAGAUACCCUAGUAGUCC